UGAAUUUCAUGACUUAGCUUUUUUUAAAUUGGCCUAAGAACUAUAUUUGUUAAUUAGUUUUAUGGAAAGAUUUGUUCAAUGGAAUUUAGGCCAUAACCAAGCUUAGGAAUUUAUGGAGGGUUAAUGGUGAGGGUUGAAGUGAUGAUGGUGAAGUUGUGGAGGAAUUUAUGGUAGUGACAAUAUUGUGAAGGAAAUAAUGGUAUGGUGCAACAAUAGUUCAAUGUUGAUGGCAAUAAUGGUGGUGGUUUCAAGAUAAUUGUCAAGAAACAAUGGUAGUGUAGUUAUGGUGGUGAUGAUGGUAAGAUUUGGAUGAGGUUAUGAUGUGGAUCCACUAAGAUAUGAUGUCAAACUAGAGGUGUCAAUGGCAAUGUUGUAGGCAAGGGUGGUAAUUUGAUGAUAAUGAUGUGAUGGUGAAAGUGGUGACGAUAUUAGUGUUGUAGUGGCGGCAAUAUUAGUGUUGUAGUGGCGGCAAUAUUAGUGUUGUAGUGGCGGCGAUAUUAGUGUUGUGGUGGCGGCGAUAUUAAUGUAGUAAUGGCGGCGAUAUUAGUGUAGUAGUGGCGGCGAUAUUGGUGGUAUGGUGAUAGGGAUGGUUGUGGUGGUGGCAAGUGUGAGGAUGAUGGUGACAAUAAUGGGUAUAUAUGAGUGAGGUUGUAACAAUGGUUGUGUGAUGGCAAUGGUAGUUGUGGGUGGGCGUAUAAUUUCUACCUUAGCCUUUAUAAUCUUGAAAUAUAAUAGGGGAAUAAGAUAAGAUACGUGCAUCUUUAACCAUAAUACUCUUUGACAAAAAUAUUUUUUUUUUAAAAUGUGUACCAAUGGCACAAAAAAGGAGAGAGAAAUCAUGUGGAUUGUAUUAGAGAUUGUGGAAUCCAAAUAAGAAUGUUGGAC
RNAcentral lists this long non-coding RNA (885 nucleotides) under Lupinus mutabilis. RNAcentral describes it as "partial ncRNA". Lineage: Eukaryota; Viridiplantae; Streptophyta; Magnoliopsida; Fabales; Fabaceae. The record is from RNAcentral.